CCAAUAGCGUAUAUUAAAGUUGUUGCAGUUAAAAAGCUCGUAGUUGAAUUUCGGGAUUGACACAUCGGUCGUGCCUUAAGGGGUAUGAACUGGUGUAGUCAAUUUCUCACCUUCUGGAGAACCGCGAUGCCCUUAAUUGGGUGUCGCGGGGAACCAGGACCUUUACUUUGAAAAAAUUAGAGUGUUUAAAGCAGGCAUUUUGCUUGAAUACAUUAGCAUGGAAUAAUAAAAUAGGACGGCAUGAUUCUAUUUUGUUGGUUUCUAGGAUCACCGUAAUGAUUAAUAGGGAUAGUUGGGGGCAUUAGUAUUCAAUUGUCAGAGGUGAAAUUCUUGGAUUUAUUGAAGACUAACUACUGCGAAAGCAUUUGCCAAGGAUGUUUUCAUUAAUCAAGAACGAAAGUUAGGGGAUCGAAGACGAUCAGAUACCGUCGUAGUCUUAACCAUAAACCAUGCCGACUAGGAAUCAGACGAUGUUAAUUUUUUAAUGACUCGUUUGGCACCUUACG
Molecule: ribosomal RNA, 506 nt
Filed under: uncultured Glomeromycotina
Lineage: Eukaryota; Fungi; Glomeromycota
Description: partial small subunit ribosomal RNA
Rfam family: Eukaryotic small subunit ribosomal RNA
Source: RNAcentral